Molecule: long non-coding RNA, 2354 nt
Organism: Solanum pennellii
Lineage: Eukaryota; Viridiplantae; Streptophyta; Magnoliopsida; Solanales; Solanaceae
Exons: 10
Source: RefSeq, a predicted model, not a curated record
AGUAUAAUCAACAUUCAAAAGCAUUUAUGGAGGAUUCAAGGUUUGAUUUCAACUAAAACAAGUACCAUGACUAGGCAGUGGGCAUUAGAGGCAGAACACUGAACUCUACAAUUUGAAGUCGCUCCUGUUUUUGUCUCUGUCCCGAGUUUCUCGCUCUGAGGGAGAAGAGCUUUGGGAGAGUAGAGAAGAACUGAUUUAUGCCACCAGAGGUUUACUGACUACAGGAAAAGAAAUCAAAGAGUUUAAAUCAAAACGAGAAGAAUGAAUCAAUCAACAAUACUAAAGAAAAAGGGGUCGAAUCCAAAUAAAGCUCAAAGUCCAUUGAAGAAUCUAGAUAUGCAAUACCGAUCAAGUGCUGAAUUGGUCAACACAUUCAAGGUUAAGAGAGAACAUGUUGCAAACGAACGCAAUAACAAAGCUAAAAAGAGCAUGCACCAAUAGCGCAUAAAAGAAGAGUUUUGAGAAUUUCAUCAAACCACAAGGAAAGAGUAAUUUGUAAACAAAUUACCGAUUCAAUCGUCUUCUAGGGAAGAACUUAGUAAUUCACAUGUGAUUGCAGGGAAAGGACUAAAUAAAUCGAGGUUAUUUCAGCCUGGAGAGUCCAUUCAAAAGAAGGGACUUAAACUUCCUAUGCAGAACUUCGGGUUCCAACCGUCGUCCAAGGAAGGUGCUACUGCUUUUGUACAUGUGACUGGAAUAACAUUAGGUAAUGAACAGAAACAACAUGAUAAUAAGGAUCUACUAAGCUGCAAACAGGUGAAGAGGAAGUUGGUCCUACCGGCCACUACUAUUGAUCAGUUUCUGGAAAAAAAAAUAAGAAGAUGAUGUUGAUCAUGAUCUACCAAACAUAAAACAGUUAAAGAAGAAGUCAGUCAUACCAGCUACUAGUAUAGAUCAGUUUUUAAAACAACAAGGGAUAGUCAUAGGUGAUGAAAGGAAAUAGGUAAACCACACAGAAAUAGAUGUCGAGUGUAUGCAUACUCCUCAUUCUAUUCAUGAACACAAUAAAGGAUUGGAUAAUCUAGAGGAUCAUGAAUAAAUCGACAAGGAUGAGUGUGCUAUAAACGAGGAAGAUGACAUUGAUUGUAGUGCAAAAGGUUUUCGAAGAAAAAAAAGGCUCGAGGACAAACAACAUGUAAGCAUUUUCAUGCAAGAAAUUCGGAAGAAAGGGAGGAGGUGACAUUUGAUAAAGAACAAGCAGUUGGUCUCACCGGUAAGAUAGUGUCGGAAUUAACCAAUUUUAUUAGAACAAUUGCAAGGAAUCCUAGAUUCAUCAGCUUGAUGUACAUUACUUGGCAUACGGUGCCAAAAGAUAUUAAAAAGCGCAUGUGAAAAUAUAUCAAUUCCAAAUUCCUAAUCCCAAUAGAAGGAAAGAAGUGGGUGAUGACUGCUCUUCGUGAUGCUUGGAGGCAACACAAACAUGUGAUUAAAGAGAGAUAUUUUGAUAAAAAAUAGUACUGUUGAGGAUAUGCUAGCGAAACGUCUUGAUGACAUUCCAGAAGUUCAUUUCCGCCAGUUGAUCUAGUAUUGGCAACACCCAACUGUUCAAGCUAUAUCUGAGGUGAAUUCUAAAGCAGGAAGUUACAAAAGUGGAGGCAUCGAAUGGGACCAAUUAAUUUUGCAAGACGUGUAGCAUAGAAAAUAACGAGGAACCAUCACAAUCUGAAAUGUUUAUCGCAACUCGUACAAAGACGGGAAAGGAAAUUCAGCCUGAUACCAAAGUCGCAACAGUUUGAACUUCAAAAUCGUCAACAUUCCGGAGAAACAGUUGAUGAUGCCUUCAGGGCAGUGUUUGGAAAGGAGCAGCCUGGACGACUUAGGUGCUAUGGACAAGUUCUCUAAAAGAAGAUGAGGAAAUUAACAAGAUGAAAACAAAAGCAUGCUAAUGAAAUCAGUUUCUCUGAAGGAAGAAAUGAAUGAAGAAAUGAAUGAAAAAAUGAAUGAAAUGAGAGAUGAAAUGCACCUUUUUUAGUCAAUUGCUGCAAAACAAUCCUUGGUUGAAUGUUCAAGAUAUACCAGGGGUUGUUGGAUCUAACCUUGUUUCACCUGUUGAUGCAAGUAGUGCACAAGCUUUAAGAGUCCAGAAUAUUCCAAAUUCUUCAGGGUCAACUCACAAUUCAAUUCUUCAAAAGGGGAAUAUAGGUGCUCAAAUUCGAAGAAUCUCCACAAGAUAAUUUGAUCUCACUGCAUUUAAAGUGGAUGAUCAAUGAAGAGUUUUUGAACCAUUGCAAAUGUUUGAAUACUUUUUGAACUAUUCACGUGUACACAUAUAUUUAGAAUAUUGUUUUAUAAGUAUGUGUAUGUACACAAGCCUAUCAUUUUGAAGUUUAUUGCAAUUUUUUAUAUUUGAACUA